CGUGUAGGCGGGUCUUUAAGUCAGAGGUGAAAUGCCAAGGCUCAACCUUGGAACUGCCUUUGAUACUGGAGAUCUUGAGUCCGGGAGAGGUGAGUGGAAUUGCGAGUGUAGAGGUGAAAUUCGUAGAUAUUCGCAAGAACACCAGUGGCGAAGGCGGCUCACUGGCCCGGAACUGACGCUGAGACGCGAAAGCGUGGGGAGCAAACA
RNAcentral lists this ribosomal RNA (207 nucleotides) under uncultured bacterium. Its description in RNAcentral is "partial 16S ribosomal RNA". It matches the Rfam family "Bacterial small subunit ribosomal RNA", at positions 568 to 774 of the family's 1533-position model. The record is from RNAcentral.